CCUACGGGAGGCAGCAGUGGGGAAUUUUGGACAAUGGGCGCAAGCCUGAUCCAGCAAUGCCGCGUGAGUGAAGAAGGCCUUCGGGUUGUAAAGCUCUUUUGUCAGGGAAGAAACGGUGGGAGCUAAUAUCUCCCGCUAAUGACGGUACCUGAAGAAUAAGCACCGGCUAACUACGUGCCAGCAGCCGCGGUAAUACGUAGGGUGCAAGCGUUAAUCGGAAUUACUGGGCGUAAAGCGUGCGCAGGCGGUUUUGUAAGUCUGUCGUGAAAGCCCCGGGCUCAACCUGGGAAUUGCGAUGGAGACUGCAAGGCUUGAAUCUGGCAGAGGGGGGUAGAAUUCCACGUGUAGCAGUGAAAUGCGUAGAGAUGUGGAGGAACACCGAUGGCGAAAGGCAGCCCCCUGGGUCAAGAUUGACGCUCAUGCACGAAAGCGUGGGGAGCAAACAGGAUUAGAUACCCUGGUAGUCCACGCCCUAAACGAUGUCUACUAGUUGUCGGGUUUUAAUUAACUUGGUAACGCAGCUAACGCGUGAAGUAGACCCGCCUGGGGAGUACGGUCGCAGAUUAAAACUCAAAGGAAUUGACCGGCNGAGAGNGCGACGACGACGACGAGGAGGAGG
RNAcentral lists this ribosomal RNA (619 nucleotides) under uncultured bacterium. Its description in RNAcentral is "bacterial SSU rRNA". It matches the Rfam family "Bacterial small subunit ribosomal RNA", at positions 338 to 956 of the family's 1533-position model. The record is from RNAcentral.